RNAcentral lists this ribosomal RNA (413 nucleotides) under uncultured bacterium. RNAcentral's name for it is "bacterial SSU rRNA". It matches the Rfam family "Bacterial small subunit ribosomal RNA", at positions 352 to 782 of the family's 1533-position model. The record is from RNAcentral.
CAGUGGGGAAUCUUGCGCAAUGGGCGAAAGCCUGACGCAGCCAUGCCGCGUGAAUGAUGAAGGUCUUAGGAUUGUAAAAUUCUUUCAGUAGGGACGAUAAUGACGGUACCUACAGAAGAAGCCCCGGCUAACUUCGUGCCAGCAGCCGCGGUAAUACGAAGGGGGCUAGCGUUGCUCGGAAUUACUGGGCGUAAAGGGAGCGUAGGCGGGUUAUCAAGUUGGGGGUGAAAGCCCGGGGCUCAACCUCGGAAUUGCCUUCAAAACUGGUAGCCUAGAGUAUGAUAGAGGUAUGUGGAACUCCGAGUGUAGAGGUGAAAUUCGUAGAUAUUCGGAAGAACACCAGUGGCGAAGGCGACAUACUGGGUCAUGACUGACGCUGAGGCUCGAAAGCGUGGGGAGCAAACAGGAUUAGA